Molecule: ribosomal RNA, 376 nt
Filed under: uncultured organism
Description: partial 16S ribosomal RNA
Rfam family: Bacterial small subunit ribosomal RNA
Source: RNAcentral
GUAGGUGGCAAGCGUCGUCCGGGAAUUAUUGGGGCGUAAAGCGCGCGCAGGCGGUUCUUUAAGUCUGAUGUGAAAGCCCACGGGCUCAACCGUGGAGGGUCAUUGGAAACUGGAGAACUUGAGUACAGAAGAGGAAAGCGGAAUUCCACGUGUAGCGGUGAAAUGCGUAGAGAUGUGGAGGAACACCAGUGGCGAAGGCGGCUUUCUGGUCUGUAACUGACGCUGAGGCGCGAAAGCGUGGGGAGCAAACAGGAUUAGAUACCCUGGUAGUCCACGCCGUAAACGAUGAGUGCUAAGUGUUAGGGGGUUCCCGCCCCUUAGUGCUGCAGCUAACGCAUUAAGCACUCCGCCUGGGGAGUACGGCCGCAAAGGCUGA